AGUUUGAUCAUGGCUCAGGAUGAACGCUGGCGGCGUGCCUAAUACAUGCAAGUCGAACGCAUAUCUUCGGAUAUGAGUGGCGAACGGGUGAGUAAUACAUAAGUAACCUGGCCUUAAGAGGGGGAUAACUAUUAGAAAUGAUAGCUAAGACCGCAUAGGUAUGAAGAUCGCAUGAUCGACAUAUUAAAUAUCCCACGGGAUAGCUGAAGGAUGGACUUAUGGCGCAUUAGCUAGUUGGUAGGGUAACGGCCUACCAAGGCGACGAUGCGUAGCCGACCUGAGAGGGUGGACGGCCACACUGGGACUGAGACACGGCCCAGACUCCUACGGGAGGCAGCAGUAGGGAAUUUUCGGCAAUGGGGGGAACCCUGACCGAGCAACGCCGCGUGAGGGAGGAAGUAUUUCGGUAUGUAAACCUCUGUUAUAAAGGAAGAACGAUGCAUGUAGGGAAUGACAUGCAAGUGACGGUACUUUAUGAGGAAGCCACGGCUAACUACGUGCCAGCAGCCGCGGUAAUACGUAGGUGGCGAGCGUUAUCCGGAAUUAUUGGGCGUAAAGAGGGAGCAGGCGGCAGCUAAGGUCUGCGGUGAAAGCCCGAAGCUAAACUUCGGUAAGCCGUGGAAACCGAGCAGCUAGAGUGCAGUAGAGGAUCGUGGAAUUCCAUGUGUAGCGGUGAAAUGCGUAGAUAUAUGGAGGAACACCAGUGGCGAAGGCGACGAUCUGGGCUGCAACUGACGCUCAGUCCCGAAAGCGUGGGGAGCAAAUAGGAUUAGAUACCCUAGUAGUCCACGCCGUAAACGAUGAGUACUAAGUGUUGGGGGUCAAACCUCAGUGCUGCAGUUAACGCAAUAAGUACUCCGCCUGAGUAGUACGUUCGCAAGAAUGAAACUCAAAGGAAUUGACGGGGGCCCGCACAAGCGGUGGAGCAUGUGGUUUAAUUCGAAGCAACGCGAAGAACCUUACCAGGUCUUGACAUCGAUCUAAAGGAUCCAGAGAUGGAUAGAUAGUUAUAGAGAAGACAGGUGGUGCAUGGUUGUCGUCAGCUCGUGUCGUGAGAUGUUGGGUUAAGUCCCGCAACGAGCGCAACCCUUGUCGUUAGUUACCAGCAGUAAGAUGGGGACUCUAGCGAGACUGCCUCUGCAAGGAGGAGGAAGGCGGGGAUGACGUCAAAUCAUCAUGCCCCUUAUGACCUGGGCUACACACGUGCUACAAUGGACGGAUCAAAGGGAAGCGAAGCCGCGAGGUGAAGCGAAACUCAAAAACCCGUUCUCAGUUCGGACUGCAGUCUGCAACUCGACUGCACGAAGUUGGAAUCGCUAGUAAUCGCGAAUCAGAAUGUCGCGGUGAAUACGUUCUCGGGCCUUGUACACACCGCCCGUCACACCAUGAGAGUUGGUAACACCCGAAGCCGGUGGCCUAACCGCAAGGAAGGAGCUGUCUAAGGUGGGACUGAUGAUUGGGGUGAAGUCGUAACAAGGUACCC
RNAcentral lists this ribosomal RNA (1483 nucleotides) under uncultured bacterium. RNAcentral describes it as "16S ribosomal RNA". It matches the Rfam family "Bacterial small subunit ribosomal RNA". The record is from RNAcentral.